GGCAGAGGGUGCAAACGUUGCUCGGAAUUACUGGGCGUAAAGCGCGUGUAGGCGGACCACCAAGUCGGACGUGAAAGCCCUGAGCUCAACUCAGGAACUGCAUCCGAAACUGGCGGUCUGGAGUAGUGGAGAGGAAAGCAGAAUUCCUGGUGUAGAGGUGAAAUUCGUAGAUAUCAGGAGGAACACCGGUGGCGAAGGCGGCUUUCUGGACACUUACUGACGCUGAGACGCGAAAGCGUGGGGAGCAAACAGG
This 253-nucleotide ribosomal RNA is filed under the name uncultured bacterium. Its description in RNAcentral is "partial 16S ribosomal RNA". It matches the Rfam family "Bacterial small subunit ribosomal RNA", at positions 524 to 776 of the family's 1533-position model. The record is from RNAcentral.